Molecule: long non-coding RNA, 1208 nt
Organism: Capsicum annuum
Lineage: Eukaryota; Viridiplantae; Streptophyta; Magnoliopsida; Solanales; Solanaceae
Exons: 2
Source: RefSeq, a predicted model, not a curated record
UAUAAAAGUAAUCAAAUACCCUGAAGUAGACUUGCGAGUAUCAACAUCACCGACCAUAUCUGAAUCAAUGUAACCACAAAGAAUAGGCUUUCUUGUACAAAAACACAAACUUAGACUAGAAGUGCCACAAAGAUAGCUCAUAAUACACUUCACAGAUAUCUCAUAAACUGUCCACCAGCCCAAACCCAAUUCUGCUGACCUACUCCCCAAACAGCCCAAUCCUUCAAUCCCUUCCCCUUAACAGCAAUGUACUACUUGGUACAACAACACACAAUGUAAAACUCGACCCGAUACGGUACAAAACUAAACAACGUACAACAAUCGACCAACAACAUCAACACACGAAAAACAUACAACGGUCAAAACCAACAACAACAAUGUUCAACGACCACAACAACUUCAACGGCAAAACAACACCAAAGGUGUUCAAUAGUAACGACAAACAACAGCUGCAGCAACAGUUCAGCAAGAACGGUCUAUUUUUAUACCAACCUUAUCUUCAAAUAUCAAAUUUUGAAAUUCCUCAAAUACCCCUUUGUUCAUACAAAAUCAGUCCCAAAAUCUCCUAUAAAUACCCAGUAAAGAACAAGAGUUAAAGGGUGAUUCUUGGGGGGAAACUUAGAGAUUCUGGAGAAGCAUUCCUCUAACCGAGAAAUCCUUUGAAUUCAUUUAAAUUCCAGAAAUUCUGAUUUUGAAUUCAUCUUUGUCAUCUCGUCGUCCUGGUUCGUGCGUCUAAAAAUAUGAAUCUGCCUCACCGAGUCCACAGGACGACAAUCCUUGCAUCCCUUCGGUCACAACCCAUUCUUUGAAGUCAAAAAUGGAUUAAUGUGCAAAAACAACUGCUGGUAUACACUGAUAUAUGUCAUAUAUACGGGAUGUACAGGUCAAAAGUAGCUGGUAUAUGCUCAUAUAUGAUGUGUACUGAAAAUUAGGAGCAAGUGCAUAGAUUUGUAGACAUGGAUACAUAGCAUAUAUACAAUAAAACGCAGGAAAAAAUAAGGCUGAUAUACAUGUGGCAUACAUGCUGAAAAAUGGACCCAGAGUCCAUUAAGAAUGCAGUCCAAGGCUGGAAAGACCAAAAAAUGGGCCAAAAGCCCAAUCCAAACUUUUAUUUCUAUUUAUUUCCUUUGUAAUUCAUUGUUGAUAUCUAUGAUCUAACUUUAACUAAGAGAAAAUAUAUCGAAUCACCCCUAAACUUGUAGCCAAAA